RNAcentral lists this long non-coding RNA (421 nucleotides) under Amborella trichopoda. Its description in RNAcentral is "long non-coding RNA (ATRI_LNC001364)". The record is from RNAcentral. Lineage: Eukaryota; Viridiplantae; Streptophyta; Magnoliopsida; Amborellales; Amborellaceae.
UUUUAAAGAGGAAAAGAGGAGAGGGAGAAGGGUAGUGAGAGAAAGAAGAGGGAAAGUAGGGAAGAGAGGGAAAAAAGGGCGGUUUUCUAAGAGAGUCAGGAAGAGAGGGAAAGAAGGGCGCGUUCUCUCUCUCUCUCUCUUUCUCUCUCCCCAUCUUGGAAUGGAGGGGCGGAGGGUUGCGGUGUUGCAGAGGAGAGAGAUUGUGUGGUUUUAGAGAGAGAAAGUUUGGAGAGAGAGCCAUGCAUGUUAUGCGACGUCUCAAGAGCAUUGCUUCUGGUCGCUCCUCCGUCUCAGAUCCUGUAAGUUUCGCAUUGUAAUUUCAUUUUCUAUCUCUAAGUCACAGACAGUUUGUGAGGCUCUGGUCCGUGUUUUGUCAGGUUUUUCACAUGGCAUUGGCAUUUGUACGACUGCUUUUUGAUUG